Molecule: ribosomal RNA, 301 nt
Filed under: uncultured bacterium
Lineage: Bacteria
Description: partial 16S ribosomal RNA
Rfam family: Bacterial small subunit ribosomal RNA
Source: RNAcentral
CAGUAGCCGCGGGAAUACGUAGGUGGCAAGCGUUGUCCGGAAUUAUUGGGCGUAAAGGGCUCGCAGGCGGCCAUUCAAGUUAGAUGUGAAAGCCCUGGGCUCAACCUAGGAAUUGCAUUUGAUACUGUUUGGCUUGAGUUCGGGAGAGGUGAGUGGAAUUCCCAGUGUAGAGGUGAAAUUCGUAGAUAUUCGGAAGAACACCAGUGGCGAAGGCGACACACUGGCUCAUUACUGACGCUGAGGCUCGAAAGCGUGGGGAGCAAACAGGAUUAGAGACCCCGGUAGUCCCUGUCUCUUAUAC